RNAcentral lists this unclassified non-coding RNA (329 nucleotides) under soil metagenome. RNAcentral describes it as "partial contains 5.8S ribosomal RNA, internal transcribed spacer 2, and large subunit ribosomal RNA". The stretch from base 1 to 120 matches the Rfam family "5.8S ribosomal RNA", at positions 35 to 154 of the family's 154-position model. The record is from RNAcentral.
GAUGAAGAACGCAGCGAAAUGCGAUAAGUAAUGUGAAUUGCAGAAUUCAGUGAAUCAUCGAAUCUUUGAACGCACAUUGCGCCCCCUGGUAUUCCGGGGGGCAUGCCUGUUCGAGCGUCAUUACAACCCUCAAGCUCUGCUUGGUAUUGGGCCCCGCCAGUUCUGGCGGGCCCUAAAGUCAGUGGCGGUGCCUUCCGGCUCCGAGCGUAGCAAUUCUUCUCGCUCUGGAGACCCGGUUGUGUGCUUGCCAACAACCCCCAAUUUUUUAAGGUUGACCUCGGAUCAGGUAGGGAUACCCGCUGAACUUAAGCAUAUCAAUAAGCGGAGGA